ACUAAGCGUACACGGUGGAUGCCCUGGCAGUCAGAGGCGAUGAAGGACGUGCUAAUCUGCGAUAAGCGUCGGUGAGGUGAUAUGAACCGUUAUAACCGGCGAUUUCCGAAUGGGGAAACCCAGUGUGUUUCGACACACUAUCAUUAACUGAAUCCAUAGGUUAAUGAGGCGAACCGGGGGAACUGAAACAUCUAAGUACCCCGAGGAAAAGAAAUCAACCGAGAUUCCCCCAGUAGCGGCGAGCGAACGGGGAGGAGCCCAGAGCCUGAAUCAGUGUGUGUGUUAGUGGAAGCGUCUGGAAAGGCGUGCGAUACAGGGUGACAGCCCCGUACACAAAAAUGCACAUAUUGUGAGCUCGAUGAGUAGGGCGGGACACGUGGUAUCCUGUCUGAAUAUGGGGGGACCAUCCUCCAAGGCUAAAUACUCCUGACUGACCGAUAGUGAACCAGUACCGUGAGGGAAAGGCGAAAAGAACCCCGGCGAGGGGAGUGAAAAAGAACCUGAAACCGUGUACGUACAAGCAGUGGGAGCCUCUUAAUGGGGUGACUGCGUACCUUUUGUAUAAUGGGUCAGCGACUUAUAUUCUGUAGCAAGGUUAACCGAAUAGGGGAGCCGAAGGGAAACCGAGUCUUAACUGGGCGUUAAGUUGCAGGGUAUAGACCCGAAACCCGGUGAUCUAGCCAUGGGCAGGUUGAAGGUUGGGUAACACUAACUGGAGGACCGAACCGACUAAUGUUGAAAAAUUAGCGGAUGACUUGUGGCUGGGGGUGAAAGGCCAAUCAAACCGGGAGAUAGCUGGUUCUCCCCGAAAGCUAUUUAGGUAGCGCCUCGUGAAUUCAUCUCCGGGGGUAGAGCACUGUUUCGGCAAGGGGGUCAUCCCGACUUACCAACCCGAUGCAAACUGCGAAUACCGGAGAAUGUUAUCACGGGAGACACACGGCGGGUGCUAACGUCCGUCGUGAAGAGGGAAACAACCCAGACCGCCAGCUAAGGUCCCAAAGUCAUGGUUAAGUGGGAAACGAUGUGGGAAGGCCCAGACAGCCAGGAUGUUGGCUUAGAAGCAGCCAUCAUUUAAAGAAAGCGUAAUAGCUCACUGGUCGAGUCGGCCUGCGCGGAAGAUGUAACGGGGCUAAACCAUGCACCGAAGCUGCGGCAGCGACACUAUGUGUUGUUGGGUAGGGGAGCGUUCUGUAAGCCUGUGAAGGUGGCCUGUGAGGGUUGCUGGAGGUAUCAGAAGUGCGAAUGCUGACAUAAGUAACGAUAAAGCGGGUGAAAAGCCCGCUCGCCGGAAGACCAAGGGUUCCUGUCCAACGUUAAUCGGGGCAGGGUGAGUCGACCCCUAAGGCGAGGCCGAAAGGCGUAGUCGAUGGGAAACAGGUUAAUAUUCCUGUACUUGGUGUUACUGCGAAGGGGGGACGGAGAAGGCUAUGUUGGCCGGGCGACGGUUGUCCCGGUUUAAGCGUGUAGGCUGGUUUUCCAGGCAAAUCCGGAAAACCAAGGCUGAGGCGUGAUGACGAAGCACUACGGUGCUGAAGCGACAAAUGCCCUGCUUCCAGGAAAAGCCUCUAAGCAUCAGGUAACAUCAAAUCGUACCCCAAACCGACACAGGUGGUCAGGUAGAGAAUACCAAGGCGCUUGAGAGAACUCGGGUGAAGGAACUAGGCAAAAUGGUGCCGUAACUUCGGGAGAAGGCACGCUGAUAUGUAGGUGAAGCGACUUGCUCGUGGAGCUGAAAUCAGUCGAAGAUACCAGCUGGCUGCAACUGUUUAUUAAAAACACAGCACUGUGCAAACACGAAAGUGGACGUAUACGGUGUGACGCCUGCCCGGUGCCGGAAGGUUAAUUGAUGGGGUUAGCGGCAACGCGAAGCUCUUGAUCGAAGCCCCGGUAAACGGCGGCCGUAACUAUAACGGUCCUAAGGUAGCGAAAUUCCUUGUCGGGUAAGUUCCGACCUGCACGAAUGGCGUAAUGAUGGCCAGGCUGUCUCCACCCGAGACUCAGUGAAAUUGAACUCGCUGUGAAGAUGCAGUGUACCCGCGGCAAGACGGAAAGACCCCGUGAACCUUUACUAUAGCUUGACACUGAACAUUGAGCCUUGAUGUGUAGGAUAGGUGGGAGGCUUUGAAGUGUGGACGCCAGUCUGCAUGGAGCCGACCUUGAAAUACCACCCUUUAAUGUUUGAUGUUCUAACGUUGGCCCGUAAUCCGGGUUGCGGACAGUGUCUGGUGGGUAGUUUGACUGGGGCGGUCUCCUCCUAAAGAGUAACGGAGGAGCACGAAGGUUGGCUAAUCCUGGUCGGACAUCAGGAGGUUAGUGCAAUGGCAUAAGCCAGCUUGACUGCGAGCGUGACGGCGCGAGCAGGUGCGAAAGCAGGUCAUAGUGAUCCGGUGGUUCUGAAUGGAAGGGCCAUCGCUCAACGGAUAAAAGGUACUCCGGGGAUAACAGGCUGAUACCGCCCAAGAGUUCAUAUCGACGGCGGUGUUUGGCACCUCGAUGUCGGCUCAUCACAUCCUGGGGCUGAAGUAGGUCCCAAGGGUAUGGCUGUUCGCCAUUUAAAGUGGUACGCGAGCUGGGUUUAGAACGUCGUGAGACAGUUCGGUCCCUAUCUGCCGUGGGCGCUGGAGAACUGAGGGGGGCUGCUCCUAGUACGAGAGGACCGGAGUGGACGCAUCACUGGUGUUCGGGUUGUCAUGCCAAUGGCACUGCCCGGUAGCUAAAUGCGGAAGAGAUAAGUGCUGAAAGCAUCUAAGCACGAAACUUGCCCCGAGAUGAGUUCUCCCUGAGACUUAGAGUCUCCUGAAGGAACGUUGAAGACGACGACGUUGAUAGGCCGGGUGUGUAAGCGCAGCGAUGCGUUGAGCUAACCGGUACUAAUGAACCGUGAGGCUUAACC
This 2893-nucleotide ribosomal RNA is filed under the name Escherichia coli. RNAcentral's name for it is "bacterial LSU rRNA". It matches the Rfam family "Bacterial large subunit ribosomal RNA". Lineage: Bacteria; Pseudomonadati; Pseudomonadota; Gammaproteobacteria; Enterobacterales; Enterobacteriaceae. The record is from RNAcentral.